Clupea harengus (Atlantic herring) is the source of this 2215-nucleotide long non-coding RNA. The record is from Ensembl. NCBI's taxonomy places the organism in Eukaryota, Metazoa, Chordata, Actinopteri, Clupeiformes, Clupeidae.
CCCUGCCCACAGAUAUAUUAUUAAACAAAAUAGAAAUAUAAAAUUUCUAAAAUGCCAUAAAAAUGAACAAGCAAAUGAAGAAAGACUUGAUCAGAUCCUUGUUACAGUGACUGUAACUGACCCAUAAACCCAGCAGAUGUCACUGGUUGUGGUUCACACAAAAGGUGCUAUAUUAAAGCCCUGAGCUUCCUCAUCCUCCUCCUGCCCUCCUCAUUUUGCAUUGUCUCACAUCCUUUAUAUUCCAUGAACAGCAUGAUUUGGUUUAAAAAAAUAGUUGACUCUCACUUUUUUUCCAUCUGUUUGUGAAUUACUGUUAAAUUUGGAUGAAUAUCUCCAGUCAGUGCCAUCUUUCACUUCUGCCCUUUUAAAAAGCCAAACAUACGAGAGGGGGUAAGGACAGUUUUAUCCAUACAUACGAGAGGGGGUAAGGACAGUUUAAUCCAUACAUACGAGAGGGGGUAAGGACAGUUUAAUCCAUACAUACGAGAGGGGGUAAGGACAGUUUAAUCCAUACAUACGAGAGGGGGUAAGGACAGUUUAAUCCAUACAUACGAGAGGGGUAAGGACAGUUUAAUCCAUACAUACGAGAGGGGGUAAGGACAGUUUAAUCCAUACAUACGACAGGGGGUAAGGACAGUUUAAUCCAUACAAUACGACAGGGGGUAAGCAGGUUUAAUCCAUACAUACCGACAAGGGGGUAAGGACCAGUUUAAUCCAUACAUACGACAGGGGGUAAGGACAGUUUAAUCCAUACAUACGAGAGGGGGUAAGGACAGUUUAAUCCAUACAGUGGAGUCUAAAACAUGUAGAUUCAGAAGGCACCCCUCUUGUGCAAAACACCUACUUUGCUAUUUUUGUCACUGUUGUGAAAGACAAAAGAUCUAUAUGAGCCAAGGGGUUCGGCCUCUAAGUUAAUACAAACACAAUUAUACUUAAAAAUACUUUAAAAAUCAAAUAGAGUGUUUGUGUUGUGAGCCGGAAUCCAUAUAAAAUGGUGUCAGUUUCGAGCAGCAUUCAGCAUUGACCUGGUGAAUGGUUCUGCAUGAUCUCGAGUCUCACAUAAAUAUGACUGGAUGGGCUAGUCUUUCUGCCGUCCUGGCUCCCUGCAAACAACAGCAACAACAACACAUCACUGUCGUUUUAGUGAGAGUCCCUCUGAUGUCGUCCUGGCCUGCCAUGCCAAGGUAUGAGCCCGCCGUCUCCCUGCAGGGGCUGUGCCGCGCGCGUGUCUCUGUCUGUCACAUCCAGCCAGGCAGCCGUCUCAUCAGCGCCGAGCUCCUCUCUGGGUCCAGUCCCUGGGGAGUGGCGCUCCUCUCUCCUGGCGUCGGCACUCCCACCAGCCACCUGUCUCUAACCAUUGGGGUUGUGCUCACCGUGAGGUUGUUUGUCCUUCGUUUAGAACAUGCUUCAGAAUGGGUCCCCAUGACAGAUAGUCCAAUGCCUUCUUAAUGGUUUACUUGUAAGCUCCAGAAACAGUGCUUAACAUCCCGCGAGUGUCCAUGCUGUUCUUGUUUCAAGCUUUAAAAUCUUUCACUGUCACCCUUUGUGGUGAAAUGACCACAUGCUUGCUGAGGCUUCUAACAUGUUGGUGCACUUUGAGGUUGACCUUCAUUUCUCAUUCAGUCCUGCCGCUUGUCAACACACACCCUCCGUGCCAUUUGGCCCUGGGAGAAGCAUCCCUUCUUCCUCCUGAAGCGCUGGUGUUGGCCUUCACUGGGUGUGGUUCUCCAGAUGUUCCCGUUUUAGCCAGGCUUGCUUAGGGGAGGGAAAUGUUACCAACAGAUGUUCUGUUCCGCCAGAAAGAAAUGAAAUCAAAAAUAGAAAAGCAUUUGACAAUGCCAUCUGGUCAGAUAAGUGUUUAUUCUUUUGCCCACUACUCUCUCGCACAUUAAAAUCCAACCAGACAACAGCUGCUUAUCAACACAGAAUGCAUAAUGAGCUGAGAUGUGGCGCUUUUUCUAUUCUUAAACUGUGUGAACAGAUUCUCAAGCAUGCUAUGUUGGUGUCUGGCCGGGCCUGUUUGGAAGACUGGUGUUGGGAGUGCAUUCCCCCUGAUUUUCCCCCUUGUUUAAGAAUAAAACGAACCUUUUCUUUCGCAUGCUUUUAGCUUCCACUCCAUACUAUAGAUUUCCACAGUAACUAACACACAGUGAAGGGUUUAGGGCUGAAGGGCUUGAAUUGGGAUGUCACUGCAAAGACAUGUUGGAUCCAUUCG